AGAGGGGGAUAACGUUUGGAAACGAACGCUAAUACCGCAUGAUAUUAUUGAGCUGCAUGGCUUGAUAAUCAAAGGAGUAAUCCGCUGAAAGAUGGGCUCGCGUCCGAUUAGGUAGUUGGCGGGGCAACGGCCCACCAAGCCGACGAUCGGUAGCCGGACUGAGAGGUUGAACGGCCACAUUGGGACUGAGACACGGCCCAGACUCCUACGGGAGGCAGCAGUGAGGGAUAUUGGUCAAUGGGGGAAACCCUGAACCAGCAACGCCGCGUGAGGGAAGACGGUUUUCGGAUUGUAAACCUCUGUCCUCUGUGAAGAUAAUGACGGUAGCAGAGGAGGAAGCUCCGGCUAACUACGUGCCAGCAGCCGCGGUAAUACGUAGGGAGCAAGCGUUGUCCGGAUUUACUGGGUGUAAAGGGUGCAUAGGCGGCUUUGCAAGUCAGAAGUGAAAUCCAUGGGCUUAACCCAUGAACUGCUUUUGAAACUGCAGAGCUUGAGUGGAGUAGAGGUAGGCGGAAUUCCCGGUGUAGCGGUGAAAUGCGUAGAGAUCGGGAGGAACACCAGUGGCGAAGGCGGCCUGCUGGGCUCUAACUGACGCUGAGGCACGAAAGCGUGGGUAGCAAACAGGAUUAGAUACCCUGGUAGUCCACGCUGUAAACGAUGAUUACUAGGUGUGGGUGGACUGACCCCAUCCGUGCCGGAGUUA
This 703-nucleotide ribosomal RNA is filed under the name uncultured bacterium. Its description in RNAcentral is "bacterial SSU rRNA". It matches the Rfam family "Bacterial small subunit ribosomal RNA", at positions 135 to 854 of the family's 1533-position model. The record is from RNAcentral.